GUGCCUCAAUCUAUUGAGUAAGGAAAUUAUUGGGCCUUGGUAACUCUUGGCAAUGUCCUAAGGGCGAACCUAUUUUUGCUGGGUACAGGACGUCCCUUUGAGCCGCGCGCCUACUUUGCACGUGGUUCGGGUGAAGCGUUCUGCCUU
Molecule: small nuclear RNA, 147 nt
Organism: Leptidea sinapis
Lineage: Eukaryota; Metazoa; Arthropoda; Insecta; Lepidoptera; Pieridae
Product: U12 minor spliceosomal RNA
Exons: 1
Source: RefSeq, a predicted model, not a curated record